Molecule: ribosomal RNA, 158 nt
Filed under: Skeletocutis sp. KUC20121109-07
Lineage: Eukaryota; Fungi; Basidiomycota; Agaricomycetes; Polyporales; Incrustoporiaceae
Description: 5.8S ribosomal RNA
Rfam family: 5.8S ribosomal RNA
About the family: 5.8S ribosomal RNA (5.8S rRNA) is a component of the large subunit of the eukaryotic ribosome. It is transcribed by RNA polymerase I as part of the 45S precursor that also contains 18S and 28S rRNA.
Source: RNAcentral
UAACUUUCAGCAACGGAUCUCUUGGCUCUCGCAUCGAUGAAGAACGCAGCGAAAUGCGAUAAGUAAUGUGAAUUGCAGAAUUCAGUGAAUCAUCGAAUCUUUGAACGCACCUUGCGCCCCUUGGUAUUCCGAGGGGCAUGCCCGUUUGAGUGUCAUUG